This 441-nucleotide ribosomal RNA is filed under the name uncultured bacterium. Its description in RNAcentral is "bacterial SSU rRNA". It matches the Rfam family "Bacterial small subunit ribosomal RNA", at positions 335 to 762 of the family's 1533-position model. The record is from RNAcentral.
ACUCCUACGGGAGGUAGCAGUGGGAUAUUGCUACAAUAGGGAAGGCCAUCGAUGCAGCCAUGCCGCGCUGUGUGAAGAAGGCCAAUUCGGGCUUGGUUAAGACACUUUCAGUAGGGAGGAAGGUAGUGUAGUUAACACCUGCACUAUUUGACGUUACCUACAGAAGAAGCACCGGCUAACUCCGUGCCAGCAGCCGCGGUAAUACGGAGGGUGCGAGCGUUAAUCGGAAUUACUGGGCGUAAAGCGCAUGCAGGCGGCCUGUUAAGUCAGAUGUGAAAGCCCGGGGCUUAACCUCGGAAUUGCAUUUGAAACUGGCAGGCUAGAGUCUUGUAGAGGGGGGUAGAAUUUCAGGUGUAGCGGUGAAAUGCGUAGAGAUCUGAAGGAAUACCAGUGGCGAAGGCGGCCCCCUGGACAAAGACUGACGCUCAGAUGCGAAAGCGU